GUUUUAAUAGUUUAAUUUAAAACUUUGGUCUUGUAAACCAAAAAUGAAAUGUUUCUUAAACCU
This 63-nucleotide transfer RNA is filed under the name Nanhaipotamon hongkongense. RNAcentral describes it as "tRNA-Thr". It matches the Rfam family "tRNA". From Rfam's summary of the family: Transfer RNA (tRNA) molecules are approximately 80 nucleotides in length. Their secondary structure includes four short double-helical elements and three loops (D, anti-codon, and T loops). The record is from RNAcentral. Lineage: Eukaryota; Metazoa; Arthropoda; Malacostraca; Decapoda; Potamidae.